UGACGUGAAAUCCCGUUGCAGGUGUUUGU
This 29-nucleotide non-coding RNA is filed under the name Rattus norvegicus (Norway rat). The record is from RNAcentral. Lineage: Eukaryota; Metazoa; Chordata; Mammalia; Rodentia; Muridae.